RNAcentral lists this ribosomal RNA (253 nucleotides) under uncultured bacterium. RNAcentral's name for it is "partial 16S ribosomal RNA". It matches the Rfam family "Bacterial small subunit ribosomal RNA", at positions 524 to 776 of the family's 1533-position model. The record is from RNAcentral.
UACGAAGGGGGCUAGCGUUGUUCGGAAUUACUGGGCGUAAAGCGUGCGCAGGCGGCCAUCCAAGUCAGUGGUGAAAGCCCGGAGCUCAACUCCGGAACUGCCAUUGAAACUGUUUGGCUCGAGUACGAGAGAGGUGAGUGGAAUUCCCAGUGUAGAGGUGAAAUUCGUAGAUAUCGGGAGGAACACCUGUGGCGAAAGCGGCUCACUGGACCACAACUGACGCUGAGGCGCGAAAGCUAGGGGAGCAAACAGG